RNAcentral lists this ribosomal RNA (361 nucleotides) under uncultured bacterium. RNAcentral describes it as "partial 16S ribosomal RNA". It matches the Rfam family "Bacterial small subunit ribosomal RNA", at positions 338 to 696 of the family's 1533-position model. The record is from RNAcentral.
CCUACGGGUGGCAGCAGUGAGGAAUAUUGGUCAAUGGGCGGAAGCCUGAACCAGCCAAGUCGCGUGAGGGAUUAAGGCCCUGCGGGUCGUAAACCUCUUUUGCCGGGGAGCAGAGGUCCGGACGUGUCCGGGCCGGGAGAGUACCCGGAGAAAAAGCAUCGGCUAACUCCGUGCCAGCAGCCGCGGUAAUACGUAGGAUGCUAGCGUUAUCCGGAUUUAUUGGGUUUAAAGGGUGCGUAGGCGGGCAUUUAAGCCGGCGGGAAAAUGUCGGGGCCCAACCCCGGCCUGCAGUCGGAACUGGGUGCCUUGAGUGGGCAAGAGGUAUGCGGAAUGCGUGGUGUAGCGGUGAAAUGCAUAGAUA